This 253-nucleotide ribosomal RNA is filed under the name uncultured bacterium. RNAcentral's name for it is "partial 16S ribosomal RNA". It matches the Rfam family "Bacterial small subunit ribosomal RNA", at positions 524 to 776 of the family's 1533-position model. The record is from RNAcentral.
UACGUAGGGUGCGAGCGUUAAUCGGAAUUACUGGGCGUAAAGCGUGCGCAGGCGGUUCGUUAAGACAGGUGUGAAAUCCCCGGGCUCAACCUGGGAAUGGCACUUGUGACUGGCGGGCUGGAGUACGGCAGAGGGAGGUGGAAUUCCACGUGUAGCAGUGAAAUGCGUAGAGAUGUGGAGGAACACCGAUGGCGAAGGCAGCCUCCUGGGCCAGUACUGACGCUCAUGCACGAAAGCGUGGGGAGCAAACAGG